GACUUUGAUCUCCACCAGUUCUUCUGAUCAACCAUGGCUGCUGCUCUAAGUGCUGCAGUCUCUUUACCUUCCUCCAAGUCAUCCUCUCUCCCCACCAAAACAUCCUCUGUAUCCCCUCAAAGGAUUUUCCUCAAGAAGGUAUCGUUUCGUUUCGUUUCAUUUCAUUUAAUUAUAUUUGAAUCACAAACAAAAAGCUGGAUCUUGACAUGCAUAAUUGCUAUACAUACAGAGCACACUGUGUUACAGGAGGAGAGUUGUGUCAGUGAAGGCUCAGGUGACAACAGAUACUACCGAGGCACCACCAGUUAAAGUAGCCAAGGAGUCAAAGAAACAGGAAGAAGGAAUUGUUGUCAACAAAUUCAAACCUAAGAACCCUUACACUGGUCGCUGCCUCUUGAACACCAAGAUCACCGGCGAUGACGCUCCCGGUGAGACCUGGCACAUUGUCUUCACCACCCAAGGUACGUAAAUCCCUUUAUUUAAGGCAUUGCAUUUUGUAUUCUGAGGAAUUUUCCGAGUGAUUAGGUUCGUUGAUGAAUUAGGUGAGAUUCCGUAUAGAGAAGGGCAAUCGAUAGGAGUGAUUCCAGAGGGAAUUGACAAGAACGGGAAGCCGCACAAGCUCAGGCUUUACUCUAUCGCCAGUAGUGCCAUUGGUGACUUUGGAGACUCCAAGACCGUAAGCAAAUAAUCCCUCUAACAAAGUAUAUAUAUAUAUAUAUAUAUAUAUAUAUAUAUAUAUAUAAUGAUUACAAAAUGAUCUUCUCUUUAUCUGGCAAAUGGAUUCUUCUUUUGCAGGUUUCUCUCUGUGUCAAGAGACUAGUUUACACAAAUGAUAGCGGAGAGAUUGUUAAGGGGGUCUGCUCCAACUUCUUGUGUAAGAAAGAAGACUAGUGUUGGAUCGAUUACGGUUUGAACUGUUCUUAGUGUUUGUUAUGUUCCGGUGUUUUCAGGUGACUUGAGGCCGGGUGAUGAAGCUAAGAUCACUGGACCUGUUGGGAAGGAAAUGCUUAUGCCAAAAGACCCUAAUGCCACCAUCAUCAUGGUAUGUCCUCACUUAGAGAGCAUAAUUUAAUCAACACUUGUACUGAUUACUUCUUGUUUUCUGUUUCCUUAGCUUGGAACAGGAACUGGAAUAGCUCCAUUCAGAUCAUUUUUGUGGAAAAUGUUCUUCGAGGAACACGAGGACUACAAGGUGAAACCAAAAGAAAACUCUCUGAGACACAUUUGUCGCCAAUUAUAACACACUCACUAAUUGAAUUUGCCAAUUAUAUGUGCAGUUCAAUGGUUUGGCCUGGCUCUUCUUAGGUGUACCCACAAGCAGCUCACUGCUAUACAAGGAGGUACAUAAGCUAAAUCCUAGUCAACUUUACCAAUGUUGUCUUGUGCAAAAGCUGUUGUUGACUUGUGUGGAUAAUGACAGGAGUUUGAGAAGAUGAAGGAGAAGAACCCAGACAACUUCAGGCUGGACUUUGCGGUGAGCAGAGAGCAGACGAACGAGAAGGGAGAGAAAAUGUACAUUCAGACAAGAAUGGCAGAGUAUGCAGAAGAGCUGUGGGAGUUGCUGAAGAAAGACAACACCUUUGUUUACAUGUGUGGUCUUAAGGGUAUGGAGAAGGGUAUCGAUGACAUUAUGGUCUCACUUGCUGCUAAAGAUGGUGAGGACAUUGAUUUCAUUUCAUUUGUUUUUGAGAAGUGUGUGCCACAUGUUUUAUUAAACUGUUUGGUUUGGGUGGGAACAGGGAUCGAUUGGUUGGAGUACAAGAAGCAAUUGAAGAGGAGUGAGCAGUGGAAUGUUGAAGUCUACUGAUGAAGGCUUGUGAGGGAGUUAUUAUAUAAUGUAGAUAAAAAGCUGAUGCAUUGUGAAAUCUUCAUUUAUGCUUCUUUCUUCUUUCUCAAGGAUUUUCCAUCAAAACAUUCAAAAGAGAGCAUCAAUAC
Molecule: long non-coding RNA, 1935 nt
Filed under: Arabidopsis lyrata
Lineage: Eukaryota; Viridiplantae; Streptophyta; Magnoliopsida; Brassicales; Brassicaceae
Description: long non-coding RNA (ALYR_LNC000726)
Source: RNAcentral